This is a long non-coding RNA of Sus scrofa (pig), 735 nucleotides long. RefSeq lists it as uncharacterized. NCBI's taxonomy places the organism in Eukaryota, Metazoa, Chordata, Mammalia, Artiodactyla, Suidae. The record is from RefSeq and is a predicted model, not a curated record.
AAGCCAGCGAGAGGUGAUGAUGACUUUCAGAAAGUCCCCUCCCUCCCCUCAACUCUGGCAGGGAUCUCUUCCCUCUGUGGGUUUCACUAACACCAACCUCGGUGACACCUAGUUUCCAGAAAGAGACACAGGCAGUAGGAAAGUUCAAAGGCACAUGCAGCUUGUCACAUUAGGGACAAGAAGCCAGGCUCCUGAUUUCAUUUCUACCAGCGAGGAUCUGGGGGCAGGACCCACUCCUGACAAUGACAGUGUUCCCUGCAGACAUUUCUCUGAGACAAGAGAUCUAAACCAGCACGGGAACCAGCCCAGAGUUCCCACCAGGGAGCAUGCUGAGGCAGAGCUGGGGGCUGGCACGUGGCGCCUCCACACCCAGGGCACUGCCCCCAAUGCAACGACCACCUGCUGCCCAGAGACACCCAGGAACCACAGGAGCCAGCCAAUAGCUCUGCAUCCUGAGCCCAGGCGGUGAGAUGUGUGUUUCUGUCCAGGGGCUCAAACCUGCCACACAGCUCUGGAACAGACCUGGUCACUCCCUCCCCUUCCUGUCCCCUCUGUCCUCUGUGUCCUACACAGCUCUUCAGUUACGAAUUUGUCCUACCAACCUUCUCCCCCUCAUGACCGGAGGGGAAAAAACCCUUAGCAUCAAGGAAAAAACCCUCAAUAAUGUUUGGUCUCCCUCUUAGCACUUAGCCUACUAAUAAUGCUGGUACCAAUAAAUGCUGUUGAAUAACUGAA